This 742-nucleotide ribosomal RNA is filed under the name uncultured bacterium. Its description in RNAcentral is "bacterial SSU rRNA". It matches the Rfam family "Bacterial small subunit ribosomal RNA", at positions 46 to 776 of the family's 1533-position model. The record is from RNAcentral.
GCCUACACUUGCAAGUCGAGCGGAAACAGAAAGUAGCUUGCUACUUAGAUGUCGAGCGGCGGACGGGUGAGUAAUGCUUGGGGAACUGCCCAGUCGAGGGGGACAACUAUUGGAAACGAUAGCUAAUACCGCAUACGCCCUACGGGGGAAAGGAGGGGACUCUUCGGAGCCUUUCGCGAUUGGAUGUACCCAAGUGGGAUUAGCUAGUUGGUGAGGUAAUGGCCCACCAAGGCGACGAUCCCUAGCUGGUUUGAGAGGACGAUCAGCCACACUGGAACUGAGACACGGUCCAGACUCCUACGGGAGGCAGCAGUGGGGAAUAUUGCACAAUGGGCGCAAGCCUGAUGCAGCCAUGCCGCGUGUAUGAAGAAGGCCUUAGGGUUGUAAAGUACUUUCAGCGAGGAGGAAAGGUUAGUAGUUAAUAACUGCUAGCUGUGACGUUACUCGCAGAAGAAGGACCGGCUAACUCCGUGCCAGCAGCCGCGGUAAUACGGAGGGUCCGAGCGUUAAUCGGAAUUACUGGGCGUAAAGCGUACGCAGGCGGUUUGUUAAGCGAGAUGUGAAAGCCCCGGGCUCAACCUGGGAACUGCAUUUCGAACUGACAAACUAGAGUUUUGUAGAGGGUGGUAGAAUUUCAGGUGUAGCGGUGAAAUGCGUAGAGAUCUGAAGGAAUACCAGUGGCGAAGGCGGCCACCUGGACAAUAACUGACGCUCAUGUACGAAAGCGUGGGGAGCUAACGGG